AUUGAACGCUGGCGGCAGGCUUAACACAUGCAAGUCGAGCGGGGGAAGGUAGCUUGCUACCGGACCUAGCGGCGGACGGGUGAGUAAUGCUUAGGAAUCUACCUAUUAGUGGGGGACAACAUCUCGAAAGGGAUGCUAAUACCGCAUACGUCCUACGGGAGAAAGCAGGGGAUCUUCGGACCUUGCGCUAAUAGAUGAGCCUAAGUCGGAUUAGCUAGUUGGUGGGGUAAAGGCCUACCAAGGCGACGAUCUGUAGCGGGUCUGAGAGGAUGAUCCGCCGCACUGGGACUGAGACACGGCCCAGACUCAUACGGGAGGCAGCAGUGGGGAAUAUUGGACAAUGGGGGGAACCCUGAUCCAGCCAUGCCGCGUGUGUGAAGAAGGCCUUAUGGUUGUAAAGCACUUUAAGCGAGGAGGAGGCUACUCUAGUUAAUACCUAGGGAUAGUGGACGUUACUCGCAGAAUAAGCACCGGCUAACUCUGUGCCAGCCGCCGCCGUAA
This 501-nucleotide ribosomal RNA is filed under the name uncultured bacterium. Its description in RNAcentral is "partial 16S ribosomal RNA". It matches the Rfam family "Bacterial small subunit ribosomal RNA", at positions 30 to 523 of the family's 1533-position model. The record is from RNAcentral.